This is a small nuclear RNA of Solanum dulcamara, 108 nucleotides long. The record is from RefSeq and is a predicted model, not a curated record. Lineage: Eukaryota; Viridiplantae; Streptophyta; Magnoliopsida; Solanales; Solanaceae.
GUCCCUUCGGAGACAUCCCAUAAAAAUUAGAAUAAUAAUAUUAGAGAAGAUUAAAAUGACUCAUACGCAAGAAUGACACGCAUAAAUUAAAAAAAUAUUUUAAUUUUU